This 873-nucleotide long non-coding RNA is filed under the name Cricetulus griseus (Chinese hamster). RNAcentral describes it as "lncRNA (ENSCGRG00015038235.1)". Lineage: Eukaryota; Metazoa; Chordata; Mammalia; Rodentia; Cricetidae. The record is from RNAcentral.
CCCCCCCCCCUGAGCAAAAUGGGGCCGUGGGGUUCAGGAUCAGGUGUGGACAAGAAGAGACUCUGUGCCCCAGAGAAGACAUACACUACAAAACUGAGGCCCUACCUCCAGCAAAUCUUCAAAGUGAAAAUCCACUCACAGCUGAGCCUGAAAUGGAAAACAUUCUAGGAAGAAGUUGUACCUGCUGCCACUCUGCCUUUGCUGUUUUGUUUCCCCAAGAGGAUGAGAAAACAACCCUUUACUGAACAGCACCAUAUUCCAAAAGCUUUUGGCUCCUGAAGACACAUCAGUGUACAUUCCCACAAGUCCCAGACCCUUCCUCUCACUGACAGUCACUGCCCCAGCCCAAGUCAGCUGCAACAAGUGAAGACAGUGCCAUCAAGUCCAAGGCUCUGCAGUGCAGAGAAGGAACCAGAUGAGGAAGAAGACUUCCUGAAGACAAGAGGAAACGUGGGGAUGCCGUGCAUUCAUCAUCUCGAUUCAUUGCUGGCCUGAAACUCCUGGGUGGAGCCAUCCUCCUUCCUCAGCCUCCUGAACAACUGGAUUACUCCUUUUCUUAAAAAAGCGCUUUGAGCAGCAGGUGACAUGGAGCUGUGGUUAAGAGCACUUCCUGCUCUCCCAGAGGACCCAUGUCAGGUGGCUCACUACCACCUGUAACUUCAGGGCCAGAGAAACCAUUGCUCUAUCCUGGCCUCCACAGGUAGCCACACAUGCUCAUAUACACACAUGCACAGGCACACACACAAAUGAAAAUAAGCAGGCAUCUGGGACUCCCUGAUGGUGUGUCUGGAACACUUGCAAAGAUCAUUAUACAAAAUGAGAAAAACCAACAUCCAAAGAGAAGAAGAAGGUAACCAGCAGGCUAUAGUUGAC